UACGGGGGGGGCAAGCGUUGUUCGGAAUUACUGGGCGUAAAGGGUUCGUAGGUGGCCCGCUAAGUCACACGUGAAAUCCCUCAGCUUAACUGGGGAACUGCGUGUGAGACUGGCAGGCUUGAGUGCAGGAGAGGAACGCGGAAUUCCAGGUGUAGCGGUGAAAUGCGUAGAUAUCUGGAGGAACACCGGUGGCGAAGGCGGCGUUCUGGACUGUAUCUGACACUGAGGAACGAAAGCCAGGGGAGCAAACGGG
RNAcentral lists this ribosomal RNA (253 nucleotides) under uncultured bacterium. RNAcentral's name for it is "partial 16S ribosomal RNA". It matches the Rfam family "Bacterial small subunit ribosomal RNA", at positions 524 to 776 of the family's 1533-position model. The record is from RNAcentral.